GGUAGCUCAGUGGUAGAGUGCUUGCCUUGCAUGCAGGAGGCCCUGGGUUCAAUUCCUCAGUAUCA
RNAcentral lists this transfer RNA (65 nucleotides) under Dipodomys ordii (Ord's kangaroo rat). It matches the Rfam family "tRNA". Rfam says of the family: Transfer RNA (tRNA) molecules are approximately 80 nucleotides in length. Their secondary structure includes four short double-helical elements and three loops (D, anti-codon, and T loops). The record is from Rfam by way of RNAcentral. Lineage: Eukaryota; Metazoa; Chordata; Mammalia; Rodentia; Heteromyidae.